UUCUUAAUAGUAUAACAAAAUUUAAUAAAAUACAAUAUUUUUUCAUAAUAUAAAUAUGUUUAAACAUUUAAGAUU
RNAcentral lists this transfer RNA (75 nucleotides) under Achatinella fulgens. Its description in RNAcentral is "tRNA-Glu". The record is from RNAcentral. Lineage: Eukaryota; Metazoa; Mollusca; Gastropoda; Stylommatophora; Achatinellidae.